This 406-nucleotide long non-coding RNA is filed under the name Malus domestica (apple). RNAcentral describes it as "long non-coding RNA (MDOM_LNC011179)". The record is from RNAcentral. Lineage: Eukaryota; Viridiplantae; Streptophyta; Magnoliopsida; Rosales; Rosaceae.
UUGACGACUGCGGCCAAUCUAUCUGGGUUUCAUUACUCAAACAAUUCCGGGUAACUAACUCGUUCUUGAACUUGUAUAAAAUAUCUUUAAACUUGUGACAAUUUGAUUUGCGCUAAGAUUUAGUAAAGCCUAUUUAAGACUAACUAUUGCUUUUCUACCUAUCAUACAUAUAUAUGCCAGGUCGGAGGCAGAUCUAAUUAAGAAAGUUGUUGAUGAGAUUUGGACCAAAUUGGUUUGUGAAUCAUCAAGCAAUUUGGAGGGCCUGGUUGGAAUCGAAAGCCAUGUCAAGCAAAUAGAAUCACUGUUAGACAUUGAUUCACAGGACGCUUGCAUCACUAUAGGAAUUUGGGGGAUGGGUGGUAUUGGCAAGACCACCCUUUCUGAAACUGUAUUUGACAAACUCUCU